RNAcentral lists this ribosomal RNA (499 nucleotides) under uncultured bacterium. Its description in RNAcentral is "bacterial SSU rRNA". It matches the Rfam family "Bacterial small subunit ribosomal RNA", at positions 28 to 511 of the family's 1533-position model. The record is from RNAcentral.
GAUGAACGCUAGCUACAGGCUUAACACAUGCAAGUCGAGGGGAAACGACAUUGAAAGCUUGCUUUUGAUGGGCGUCGACCGGCGCACGGGUGAGUAACGCGUAUCCAACCUGCCCACCACUUGGGGAUAACCUUGCGAAAGUAAGACUAAUACCCGAUGAUAUCCCUAGAAGACAUCUGAAAGGGAUUAAAGAUUUAUCGGUGAUGGAUGGGGAUGCGUCUGAUUAGCUUGUUGGCGGGGUAACGGCCCACCAAGGCGACGAUCAGUAGGGGUUCUGAGAGGAAGGUCCCCCACAUUGGAACUGAGACACGGUCCAAAACUCCUACGGGAGGCAGCAGUGAGGAAUAUUGGUCAAUGGGCGAGAGCCUGAAACCAGCCAAGUAGCGUGCAGGAUGACGGCCCUAUGGGUUGUAAACUGCUUUUAUAAGGGAAUAAAGUUAGUCUCGUGAGACUUUUUGCAUGUACCUUAUGAAUAAGGACCGGCUAAAUUCCGUGCCAG